AACGCUAGCUACAGGCUUAACACAUGCAAGUCGAGGGGAAACGACAUCGAAAGCUUGCUUUUGAUGGGCGUCGACCGGCGCACGGGUGAGUAACGCGUAUCCAACCUGCCCAUCACUUGGGGAUAACCUUGCGAAAGUAAGACUAAUACCCAAUGACGUCUCUAGAAGGCAUCUGAAGGAGAUUAAAGAUUUAUCGGUAAUGGAUGGGGAUGCGUCUGAUUAKCUUGUUGGCGGGGUAACGGCCCACCAAGGCAACGAUCAGUAGGGGUUCUGAGAGGAAGGUCCCCCACAUUGGAACUGAGACACGGUCCAAACUCCUACGGGAGGCAGCAGUGAGGAAUAUUGGUCAAUGGGCGAGAGCCUGAACCAGCCAAGUAGCGUGCAGGAUGACGGCCCUAUGGGUUGUAAACUGCUUUUAUAAGGGAAUAAAGUGAGUCUCGUGAGACUUUUUGCAUGUACCUCAUGAAUAAGGACCGGCUAAUUCCGUGCCAGCAGCCGCGGUAAUACGGAAGGUCCGGGCGUUAUCCGGAUUUAUUGGGUUUAAAGGGAGCGUAGGCCGGAGAUUAAGCGUGUUGUGAAAUGUAGACGCUCAACGUCUGCACUGCAGCGCGAACUGGUUUCCUUGAGUACGCACAAAGUGGGCGGAAUUCGUGGUGUAGCGGUGAAAUGCUUAGAUAUCACGAAGAACUCCGAUUG
RNAcentral lists this ribosomal RNA (696 nucleotides) under uncultured bacterium. Its description in RNAcentral is "bacterial SSU rRNA". It matches the Rfam family "Bacterial small subunit ribosomal RNA", at positions 32 to 715 of the family's 1533-position model. The record is from RNAcentral.